AGAGUUUGAUCAUGGCUCAGGAUGAAUGCUGGCGGCGUGCCUAAUACAUGCAAGUCGAGCGGUAACAGGUUCUCACAAUGUACUUCUCUUUCUUCGAGACAGGACGUUGAAAUUUCUUUAGAAAUUUUAACCUCUAAAACGAAGGAGAAAUGUCUGGCUGUAAGAAAAACUUACAAACGAGAUAGAGAGAAGGAUGUUGUGAGAAUGCUGACGAGCGGCGGACGGCUGAGUAACGCGUGGGAACGUGCCCCAAAGUGAGGGAUAACCUCGAGAAAUCGAGGCUAAUACCGCAUAUGGUCUUCGGAUUAAAGGAUUUAUCCGCUUUGGGAGCGGCCCGCGUACGAUUAGGUUGUUGGUGAGGUAAUGGCUCACCAAGCCUACGAUCGUUAACUGGUCUGAGAGGAUGAUCAGUCAGACUGGAACUGAGACACGGUCCAGACUCCUACGGGAGGCAGCAGUAAGGAAUCUUCCACAAUGGGCGAAAGCCUGAUGGAGCAACGCCGCGUGCAGGAUGAAGGCCCUCGGGUCGUAAACUGCUUUUAUGAGUGAAGAAUAUGACGGUAACUCAUGAAUAAGCACCGGCUAACUACGUGCCAGCAGCCGCGGUCAUACGUAGGGUGCAAGCAUUAUCCGGAGUGACUGGGCGUAAAGAGUUGCGUAGGUGGUUAGUAAAGUGAAUAGUGAAACCUGGUGGCUCAACCAUACAGACUAUUAUUCAAACUCACUAACUCGAGAGUGGUAGAGGUAACUGGAAUUUCUAGUGUAGGAGUGAAAUCCGUAGAUAUUAGAAGGAACACCAAUGGCGUAGGCAGGUUACUGGACCAUUUCUGACACUAAGGCACGAAAGCGUGGGGAGCGAACCGGAUUAGAUACCCUAGUAGUCC
Molecule: ribosomal RNA, 884 nt
Filed under: uncultured bacterium
Lineage: Bacteria
Description: bacterial SSU rRNA
Rfam family: Bacterial small subunit ribosomal RNA
Source: RNAcentral